Molecule: ribosomal RNA, 411 nt
Filed under: uncultured bacterium
Lineage: Bacteria
Description: bacterial SSU rRNA
Rfam family: Bacterial small subunit ribosomal RNA
Source: RNAcentral
AAUGGGGGCAACCCUGAUCCAGCCAUGCCGCGUGUGUGAAGAAGGCCUUUUGGUUGUAAAGCACUUUAAGCGAGGAGGAGGGUACCUUGGAUAAUACCCAAGAGUAUCGGACGUUACUCGCAGAAUAAGCACCGGCUAACUCUGUGCCAGCAGCCGCGGUAAUACAGAGGGUGCGAGCGUUAAUCGGAUUUACUGGGCGUAAAGCGUGCGUAGGCGGCCACUUAAGUCGGAUGUGAAAUCCCCGAGCUCAACUUGGGAAUUGCAUUCGAUACUGGGUGGCUAGAGUAUGGGAGAGGAAGGUAGAAUUCCAGGUGUAGCGGUGAAAUGCGUAGAGAUCUGGAGGAAUACCGAUGGCGAAGGCAGCCUUCUGGCCUAAUACUGACGCUGAGGUACGAAAGCAUGGGGAGCAAA